Molecule: ribosomal RNA, 801 nt
Filed under: uncultured bacterium
Lineage: Bacteria
Description: bacterial SSU rRNA
Rfam family: Bacterial small subunit ribosomal RNA
Source: RNAcentral
AGAGUUUGAUCAUGGCUCAGAUUGAACGCUGGCGGCAGGCUUAACACAUGCAAGUCGAACGGUAACAGAAGGUAGCUUGCUACUUUGCUGACGAGUGGCGGACGGGUGAGUAAUGCUUGGGAAUAUGCCUUAUGGUGGGGGACAACAGUUGGAAACGACUGCUAAUACCGCAUAACAUCUCCGGAUCAAAGUGGGGGACCUUCGGGCCUCACGCCAUAAGAGUAGCCCAAGUGGGAUUAGCUAGUUGGUAAGGUAAUGGCUUACCAAGGCGACGAUCCCUAGUUGGUCUUAGAGGAUGACCAGCCACACUGGAACUGAGACACGGUCCAGACUCCUACGGGAGGCAGCAGUGGGGAAUAUUGCACAAUGGGCGCAAGCCUGAUGCAGCCAUGCCGCGUGUGUGAAGAAGGCUUUCGGGUUGUAAAGCACUUUCAGCGAGGAGGAAAGGGUAUUGCUUAAUAGGUAAUAUCUGUGACGUUACUCGCAGAAGAAGCACCGGCUAACUCCGUGCCAGCAGCCGCGGUAAUACGGAGGGUGCGAGCGUUAAUCGGAAUUACUGGGCGUAAAGCGCGCGUAGGUGGUUAAUUAAGUCAGAUGUGAAAUCCCAGGGCUCAACCUUGGAACUGCAUUUGAAACUGGUUAACUAGAGUUUUGUAGAGGGUGGUAGAAUUUCAGGUGUAGCGGUGAAAUGCGUAGAGAUCUGAAGGAAUACCAGUGGCGAAGGCGGCCACCUGGACAAAGACUGACACUGAGACGCGAAGGCGUGGGGAGCAAACGGGAUUAGAUACCCCGGUAGUCCAA